This 95-nucleotide microRNA precursor is filed under the name Mustela putorius furo (domestic ferret). Its description in RNAcentral is "miRNA (ENSMPUG00000022582.1)". Lineage: Eukaryota; Metazoa; Chordata; Mammalia; Carnivora; Mustelidae. The record is from RNAcentral.
AUUACCUGGUAGUCUUGUUAAAAGGCUGAUUCUCAGGGUCUGGGGUGAGCAGGAAUAUGCAUUUCUAUAAGCUCCCCAGUAAUGUUGAGGCUGCU